UUCAACUUUCAAGCUUCAUAGUAAGUGAUUCCAAGCCCCGUUUUUAAUGAUCUUUACGUUUUUGGAGUCCCGGUAACUUGAUUAAGCUUAUUCUAGUAAUAAUUCAGCCUAGGGUUCAUAUUUGGAAAAAUACCCAUGGCUGAAAUUUGUGUAUUUUGGUGUUUUAUGAUAGAAUAUGAGGUUUUAAAUUAUGUUAAACAACUUAUGCUACUCAGUUUUAAGUGAAAACGAGUAAAAUGGCUUAAAUUGGAAAAAAAUACCAAUAGUCAUAAGUAUAUGUUAGAGUGUGAUUUUGAUAUUGCCAUAGAAGGGAAAAAUGAUCAGCAUGUCAUAAAACAUAAGAAAAUAGGAUGAAGUUUAAUUUACGAGCCUUGAGGCAAAAGUGCAAAUAUGUGAAAGUUUAGGGGUAAAAAUAUAAUUUUGCAAAAGUUUGGGUCAAGGACUGUUUUAAUAAAUGUGAAUAUUAAAUAAGUUAAAUUUGCUAUUAUAGAUCAAGAAGAACGAAAUUCGGGAGUAGAUCGGGGAAAAGAAAAAGUAAAGGACUAAAUUGUAAAGUUUAGUCACAUUUUGUAUCAAGGUAAGUUACAGUAAAUAAAUGCAAUAUUCUUUUAUUUUACAUUAUUAUUGUCAAUUUCCAGCAUUUAUAUACUUAUGUUAUGAAAAUAUGUAAAGUCGAAUUUAAGGUGGAGUGACAGAGGAAAAGUGUUAGAAAGCCCCUGUUGAACCCUAAGAAUGUUAGGAUAUUAGAGUUGACAGGACAGAACAGAAAUGAGCCAUGUAAGUCCAUAUUAGAAAUAUGGCUUUGGAGAGAGGAUUGAGCCAUGUAAGUCCAUAAUAUAUAUGGCAUUGGAGACAGGAAUAAUUCAUGUAAGUCCAUGUCAAAGACAUGGCAUUGGCAGGAUAUUGAUAGACAGGAACGACCCUAGUAUCCUUAGUAUUUCGAGUGGUUCAACGGGUCAGGAUACGAGUUAAAUUACAGUGAAUUAACAGCAAAGGAAAAGUAGAUUAUACUUAUGAAAAAAGAAAGGUCAGGUAAGAAAGAAGGUAAGGGAAUAAAGAAGAAGAUACAAAUUGAGAAGUAAAGAAAUUUAUGAUGUUAGAUGAUAUUAUGCAUAAUUAUCCAUUAUGUUGAAUGUUGUGAUUUAUUUGCUUGUAAGCUUACUAAGCCUAGUGCUUAAUCUCUUUAUUUUCUUCUUCUUAUAGUACUUAUCUAGUCACUCGGGGAUCGAAGGAAACGUCGGAGGCCGAUCACACUAUCAAAGAAAUAACUCGGUAUAACUAGACGUUUUGUUUUGGGUAUGACAUGUAUAGAAACUUAGCUACUUUUGGUAUAAUAUGAACAAUGAAUGAUGUGUAAAUACUUGCUAGUGAUUAGCUAAUAAAAUAGCCGA
Molecule: long non-coding RNA, 1391 nt
Filed under: Gossypium barbadense (sea-island cotton)
Lineage: Eukaryota; Viridiplantae; Streptophyta; Magnoliopsida; Malvales; Malvaceae
Description: long non-coding RNA (GBAR_LNC008186)
Source: RNAcentral